RNAcentral lists this long non-coding RNA (270 nucleotides) under Brassica rapa (field mustard). Its description in RNAcentral is "long non-coding RNA (BRAP_LNC004044)". Lineage: Eukaryota; Viridiplantae; Streptophyta; Magnoliopsida; Brassicales; Brassicaceae. The record is from RNAcentral.
CUUUACAUUCAACUGCCACUAUUGGUAUCUUUUGGUCUAUUUUAAAAACCUUCUGAAUUUCACUUAUAUCAUCAUUUUUGGUAAAACACUUACAUCAUCCUUAUUCCUUAUGCUAAUGGUAUUAUGGGAUUUUUUUUUGGAACCAAUGUAUUACAUUAAGUUCAAAAAAAAAAAAAAAAAAAAAAAACCAAUGUAUUACAUUUAGCUUCGUGCUUUUGUAAUAUCAGCAAGAUUAUUGAAGAAGCACAGUAUCAAUCUUACAUUGUCGUC